RNAcentral lists this ribosomal RNA (466 nucleotides) under uncultured soil bacterium. RNAcentral's name for it is "bacterial SSU rRNA". It matches the Rfam family "Bacterial small subunit ribosomal RNA", at positions 26 to 484 of the family's 1533-position model. The record is from RNAcentral.
AGAUUGAACGCUAGCGGGAUGCUUUACACAUGCAAGUCGAACGGCAGCGCGGACUUCGGUCUGGCGGCGAGUGGCGAACGGGUGAGUAAUAUAUCGGAACGUGCCCCGUAGCGGGGGAUAACUACGCGAAAGCGUGGCUAAUACCGCAUACGCCCUACGGGGGGAAAGGGGGGGAUUCUUCGGAACCUCUCACUAUUGGAGCGGCCGAUAUCAGAUUAGCUAGUUGGUGAGGUAAAGGCUCACCAAGGCGACGAUCUGUAGCUGGUUUGAGAGGACGACCAGCCACACUGGGACUGAGACACGGCCCAGACUCCUAGGGAGCAGCAGUGGGAAUUUGGACAAGUGGGGAAACCUGAUCCAGCCAUCCCGCGUGUGCGAUGAAGGCCUUCGGGUUGUAAAGCUAACUUUUGGACAGGGAAGAACGGACGUGACCCUAACGACGGACGUCACUCGGACGUACCUGACA